GUGGGGAAUAUUGGGCAAUGGGCGCAAGCCUGACCCAGCAACGCCGCGUGAAGGAAGAAGGCUUUCGGGUUGUAAACUUCUUUUACCAGGGACGAAACAAAUGACGGUACCUGGUGAAUAAGCCACGGCUAACUACGUGCCAGCAGCCGCGGUAAUACGUAGGUGGCGAGCGUUAUCCGGAUUUAUUGGGUGUAAAGGGCGUGUAGGCGGGACAGCAAGUCAGAUGUGAAAACCAGAGGCUCAACCUCUGGCCUGCAUUUGAAACUGUUGUUCUUGAGUGUCGGAGAGGUAAUCGGAAUUCCGUGUGUAGCGGUGAAAUGCGUAGAUAUACGGAGGAACACCAGUGGCGAAGGCGGAUUACUGGACGAUAACUGACGCUGAGGCGCGAAAGCGUGGGGAGCAAACAGGAUUAGAUACCCUAGUAGCCC
This 428-nucleotide ribosomal RNA is filed under the name uncultured bacterium. RNAcentral describes it as "partial 16S ribosomal RNA". It matches the Rfam family "Bacterial small subunit ribosomal RNA", at positions 354 to 796 of the family's 1533-position model. The record is from RNAcentral.